UAGCUCAGUUCGUAGAGCAUGGUGUUUGCAACGCCAGGGUUGUGGGUUUGAUUCCCAC
RNAcentral lists this transfer RNA (58 nucleotides) under Salmo salar (Atlantic salmon). It matches the Rfam family "tRNA", at positions 8 to 63 of the family's 71-position model. Rfam says of the family: Transfer RNA (tRNA) molecules are approximately 80 nucleotides in length. Their secondary structure includes four short double-helical elements and three loops (D, anti-codon, and T loops). Lineage: Eukaryota; Metazoa; Chordata; Actinopteri; Salmoniformes; Salmonidae. The record is from Rfam by way of RNAcentral.